This 309-nucleotide long non-coding RNA is filed under the name Heterocephalus glaber (naked mole-rat). RNAcentral describes it as "lncRNA (ENSHGLG00100035123.1)". Lineage: Eukaryota; Metazoa; Chordata; Mammalia; Rodentia; Bathyergidae. The record is from RNAcentral.
CAGUCCUGGACAGGAUGGAGUGCUGUGUCUUUCUCCUUCUAGUCAGACUAUGCCAGAGCUGACUGUCUUGGAACUGGGGUUAAUAAUGUGAAGAUCAGGCUCCAUUGACAUGAUUACUCUCUCCAUGGAUACAGAUUACCAGAGCCUUCCAUCCCUAGGGCAUCCUUCCAUCCCAGAUGCCCCUCUUCCAGAAUCUUUCUCCUGCUGAGUAAAAUUCCAGAAAGGUUAGCGAGAAGUUGCAGCUGACAAAAAGAACAGCUGGAUCAUGCAUCUUUCAGAGGGGAAGAGCUUGCGCCCUCAUGGCUGAAG